UGGCCUCUCGUUCCACUUCUUCGCUUUGUACCACCGCGCUUCUUCUCCUGGUCGUUUCUUGGGCAGCAUCCGCUUUUGCCCGCAACUUCUACCAAGACUUCGACAUAACCUGGGGAGAUGGCCGAGCUCAGAUCCUCAAUAGUGGCGACCUCCUCACUCUUUCCCUCGACAAGGCCUCCGGCUCCGGCUUCCAGUCCAAGAACGAGUACCUGUUUGGCAAGAUUGACAUGCAACUCAAGCUCGUUCCCGGCAACUCCGCAGGCACCGUCACCGCUUACUAUGUAAGUCUCCAUCUUAAUCAGUCGGUGCCCCUUUAUCUUCAAGCUUCCUUCUUUUUAUCUCGAUCAGAUUUUAACUUUUACUAUGUUGUUAUUCUACAGUUAUCUUCAAACGGGUCGACGUGGGACGAGAUAGACUUCGAGUUCUUGGGGAACUUGAGUGGCGAUCCGUAUAUUCUUCACACCAACGUGUUCAGCCAAGGCAAGGGCAACCGAGAGCAGCAAUUCUAUCUCUGGUUCGACCCAACUGCUGAUUUCCACACCUACUCCAUCCUCUGGAAUCCGCAACGCAUCAUGUAAGAGUCUAAAACGCUCAAAAUGCGACCUUACUUGCAUUUACAUUGCGCUACACUAUUCUCCGCGGCAUUUACUCAAAAACCUUUGUGUGCGACCAUUGCAGAUUCUCAGUGGAUGGGACUCCGAUCAGAGAGUUCAAGAACGCAGAGUCCAUCGGCGUUCCCUUCCCCAAGGCCCAGCCCAUGAGGAUAUUCUCGAGCCUCUGGAACGCGGACGACUGGGCAACCAGAGGCGGGCUCGUAAAGACAGACUGGACACAAGCGCCCUUCACUGCUUCCUACAGGAACUUCAAUGCUGAUAACGCCUGCGUUUCGUCAUCUGGGUCCUCAUCUUGCACUUCGUCUUCAUCUUCUUCGGAUGGUAAUGCAUGGCUAUCGGAAGAGCUCGACUCAACAAGCCAAGAGAGGCUGAAGUGGGUUCAGAGCAACUACAUGAUCUACAACUACUGUACAGAUGCCAAAAGAUUCCCCCAAGGCGUCCCUCCUGAGUGCACCAUGUCCUAGACGACACAAGACAUAGGAUUUGUAGAAAAUUCUUCGUUUUUUUUUUUUCCCCUUUGUGAGCCAACUCUAUUCAUUAGUUAAUCUCCCUCUCGAUGUACUCGAGAAGCAAUUGAUAAUCUUUUAUUCUUUGACAUUGUAUAACAUUCUUGUCUUUACUCAAUAAAACAGAAGCUCAUCUUGGAUUUCAUAGCAGUGCUGCGAUUCAGUGAGUGGAUACUACACAGAGCAACAUUAAUUGAAAGAAAAUGGAUUAUACAGGCUAGCUCCUGCCUUGAACAUGAAACUGAUGACAGAAUUGAGUACGUUGUUGUAGCUCAGAAAAUUUGAUAAGCGCUAGAUUGAACAAGUUUUGUUUUUAUGUUGAAUUCAACUCCGAUAUCCUCAUCGAGGGACUGAUUUGGUCAACAUUUCUUCCUGGUCCUUGUGCUCCACGGAAGUAUCAAACAUAGACAAUCGAUCAUCACAAUACCAUCAUGACCAGACGAACUCCCUAAAUCUGCAAACUCAACGAACAUACUUGACUCCGACAUAGAAUUAACCAUGAUCUAUGGCCGAUCAACCUCGAGUCAACCCGGGUGGUUUCAAGUCCUCUCCCGAUUUGGGAGCUUCUCUCUCGCAGGAAGAGUUUCUCCACGCUUGGUGUGGUAAUGGCUCAUUUACUCCCAAAUCAAAACCCUAAUCGAAACACCCACCAUCCCAUUUCCGUCUAGCUUCCAUUCCCUGAGAUUUCCAUCCCAGAAUGAGCCUCAUGGUGAAAAUGGAAGUUCUUCGAGCACUGUUCCAUUCAACUGGGGCUGUCAUCCAUGGCAUGUCCAUGCUCCUUCUCACAAAAUGAGCUUUUUUUUAAAACUUUUUUCCACUAAAACAAAAACCAAAUAUCUACAAAAUCCACUACAUCAGCCUUAAUAACCCUUUCCACAAAUCAUCCAGUUCCCAUAUCCAACACUACAAAAACCCUAACCCUUUCCCAGCUAUUGAAUCACGCUUCAAAUCGGCUCUAUGCAAGUUGCCUAAGAUGUCGGGAUUAUCAAUACAGCUUCAAAAUGGUUAUGAUAAGACAGGCGCAACACACCCACCAUCUUCAUCUUGGUAUCAAACGCAAUCCAUUGUCUCAGGUUCGUCUCUUCCCUUAAAGUAUUAAGAACAGGUCUUAAGGCAUCGUCGAGCAAGCUUGUGGUUGUUUUACUACCUUCUUGGACUACUUACUAGAGUGUUUCGCCUCCAUGGAACACAAAGGCGAAGAUCCUCGGAUGAAACUUCUCUGCAAAAGGUUGGGAGAUAUGUGGUCAGAAGAUGAUAUAAUCGAUCUGGAGGAUAUCGACACUAGUGAGCAGGAAAAAGAUUGUCGUGCAAUGUUGAUAGGAAAGCUCUUUAUGAACCCAAAUGUUAAUUUUCAAGCUUUCCAGAGUACUAUGAAGAAGGCUUGGAAAAUAGAAAGUGUUGAUAUUACCCCCUUGGAGCAAGGACUGUUUUUAUUUGCUUUCAAAACAGAAGGGGACUCAAAACGUGUGUUGAAUGGUGGCCCGUGGUCCUUUGCUAAUCAUUGUCUGUUACUGAAACCAUGGGAACCAAAUACCCCCCCUCGCUGUUACAAUUUCUCAAAAGGGGCUUUUUGGGUCCACAUAUUCAGCCUUCCGGUGGAAUGGUGUAAUGCGGAAGCUGUUAGGAGAAUUGCGCGGGAUCUGGGAGAGGUGUUAGAAAUCAAAGUGGAACCCAAAGGUGGCGCUAAUUUUGUAUCAGGGAAAGUGAAAGUAGAGUUGGAUCUCUUUGCGCCUUUAAAACAAGGAAGUGUGGUUAAACGAGCGGGAAGAAAAUUCUGGCUAGAAUACAAAUACGAAAGACUUCCUCAUUUCUGCUAUGCAUGUGGAAAAUUGGGACAUUACACUACUCAGUGUGCUGAAAACCAAGUUGACCUGGAGAGAAUUAAUGAGCUACGAUUUUGGUAUUGGUUGAAGGUAGAAGCUAAAGAAUUUAGCCCUAUAUGGAAGAUGUUUUAUGAAGAUCUGAAAAAGGAUAGUGUAGAAGAAGAAGUUGUACCUGAAACUCAAGAGAAUCCAAGCCAGAUGGAUAUUGUCCAGCACCUCCCUUUAAACAGCAGCCGCAUGGAUAGACCUGAAAAAAGAAAAGAGAUGGAAAAUGAAAAACUAGGAGAUGUACAAGGAAAGGCAAGUUCUUCGUUCCUGUUAUUAACGUGGCCAGAAAACGAACCAUCUUUUGCACCUCUCAACCAUAACAUUCAGAAGGGAUUGUAUCCAAGAAAAGAAGGGAAAGCAGCCAGGCACACAAGCAAAAAAAUAGAAAAGGUUCAGUCCUUAUGGCAAUGAGAAGCAAGACCAGGAGAUUUUGGAUGAGACUCAACUCCUAGAGACCCCAAUCCAAAUUGAGAAGGGAGAGGGCACAUGGGCUUUGGUGGCUAACCCUAAUAAGCCACCGGGGUACAAAUGAACAUAUUAAGCUGGAAUUGUCAGGGGUUGAGCAAUCCCCUGACAAUUCAGGAACUAAGAGCCUUAGUGGCUCAAAACAGGCCCAGUUUAAUGUUCCUAAUGGAGACGAAGAACAAAGAAUAGCUGGUUGUGAGGUUAAAGAAGAACUUCAAGUUUCAGAACCACUUUGUGGUGGACCCAAUUGGAACUGCAGGCGGGCUAGCUUUAAUGUGGAACGCUGAAAUUCAGGUAUCAAUUGAAUCAUACUCUGCUGAUUUUAUAAAUGCGACUUGCAAAUGGGAAUGAAAUAGAAUAGUGAUGCGAAGUACUUUUGUGCAUGCCCCUUAUACUUUCCAAAAAAGGGUGUUGUUAUGGGAGGAAUUGAAAUAUAUUAAGCCCCACAAUUCUCUACCAUGGAUUUGUAUUGGUGAUUUUAAUGAAAUUCUAUAUCACUGGGAGAAAGUAGGAGGAAGAUUAGCUGAGUAUCACAGAAUGGCAGCAUUUAGACAAAUUGUAAAUGAGUUUCCUUUUAUGGAAUUAGAAGGCAAAGGCUGUGCGUUUACAUGGGCAAACAACCGGGGUGGAGAUGAAUUUAUAAAAGAAAAACUUGACAAGGUCCUAUGUACCAUUGAAUGGAGGGUUUCCUUCCCAGAAGCUCUAGUAUUUUCCCUUCCGGCAAUAGGUUCUGAUCACUGUCCUUUAUUAGUAUCACUCAUGGCUGAAAGGAGGAAGAGAAAGAGGUACUUUAAGUUUGAAGCUUUCUGGUUGGAAGAUCAUGAAUAUGAGGAAACAGUAAAUACAGUGUUGAAUGAUCCUGGAGUGAAAAAUCUAAGCUGGGGGGCAAAGACUCAGAAAAUAAAGGCAUCCUUGGAGGUAUGGAGCAAAAAAUUUGCCAAUGCACAGACUCAAAUCAGAGACUUAAAAAGAGAACUUUAAGCCAUCACAAAUAAUCAAGAGGCUGAGCAUGAUAGAAAGAGGGUACACGAGGUAAAAGGAAAAAUAGAACUGUUAUGGAAGCAAGAAGAAAUGUUCUGGGGGAUGAGAUCGAGAGUUUCAUGGCUGAAAUGGGGGGAUAGGAACUCUAAAUAUUUUCAUGCUACCACUAUACAGCGCAGGCAAAGGAGCAGAAUAUCUAUGCUCCAAAUCUCCAGUGGAGAGUGGACACAGGAUGAAAGAAGGCUGAAAGAGGAAACUUUAGCUUUUUUCACUGAAUUGUACACCUUGGUGGGACCCCGCAAUAUCCAGCCCAUCAUUGACCAAUGCCCUAUUAUGGUGACGGAAGAGAUGAACACAGCUCUAACAACAAAAAUUAUGCUACAGGAAGUCAAAGAAGCAGUCUUCCAACUCGGUGCGUUAAAAGCCCUAGGACCAAAUGGACUAAAUGGUCAGUUUUAUCAGCAUCACUAGAAAGAUAUUCAGACAGACAUUAUGGAAAUGGUAGAAGAUUUCUUGGAGACUAAAUGCCUAAAUCCAAAUCUAAACAGAACACAUAUUGCACUUGUUCCUAAAGCCCCAAACCCAGAAAAAUUAGACCAAUUCCGACCGAUCAGCCUUUGCAACUUUUCCUAUAAAAUUAUCUCAAAAGUGUUGGCAAAUCGUCUUAAGAGAUGGCUUCCUGAGUUGAUUGAAAUAGAGUAGAGCGCUUUUGUAAGUGGAAGACAGAUACAAGACAACAUCCUCAUAGUUCAAGAAGUUCUUCACCAACUCAGAAUCAGGAAAAGAAAGAAGAAAUUCCAAGCCGUGCUCAAACUAGACAUGAAGAAGGCCUAUGACAGAGUUGAAUGGGACUUCCUUGAAGCUUGCAUGAAGAAAAUGGGUUUUAGCACUACAUGGGUAACUUGGAUCAUGCAAUGUGUCACAACUACCUCAUUCAGCGUGAAAUUAAAUGGAGACUCCUUACCUUAUUUUCAACCAGCUCGAGGUAUUAGACAAGGAGACCCUCUAUCCCCUUACUUGUUUAUAAAGAUUAGAAGGUAUUAAGUUGAACAGCCACUGCCCCACACUAUCGGACUUACUGUUCGCAGAUGAUUCUAUUUUCUUUUUAGAUGGCAAGAUUAGUGAGCGCCAAAAUCUAGCUGAGGUGCUGAAUCAAUAUUGUGUAGCUACUGGGCAACUAGUGAAUUUGAACAAAUCAGGGAUCCUUUUUAAUGUAGGCUAUCCCUAGAGCUUAAGGAGGAAUAUGGCAAGGGAGCUAUGAGUCCCAGAAAUCGACAAAACAGGGAAAUAUUUGGGUAUCCCCUCUAAUUGGGAUAGUUCAAAAAAACAGAUGUUUGCAUGGAUUUUGGCACGGGUAAAUAUGAAGCUGGAAGGAUGGAAGGAAAACUUAUUGCCUAAAGCAAGAAAGGAAGUCCUUUUGAAAGCAGUAGUUCAGGCUAUCCCACAAUAUGCAAUGUCGAUAUUCAAAAUCCCAGUAUUCAUUUGCAAAGCAAUAGAACAAAAGAUAGCCUCCUUUUGGUGGAAAAAAAAUGAAAGAAAAGCUGGAAUUCAUUGGAAAACUUAGCAUCUAAUGAAAAUGAGGAAACAUCAUGGCGGUAUGGGUUUCAGAGAUCUCAUUACAUUCAACAAAGCCAUGCUAGGAAAAUAGGCAUGGUGUCUAGCGGAAAACUCUCCCACACUAUGGAUCCAACUUUUGAAAGGCUUAUAUUUUCCUAAUACAGAUUUCUGGCAUGCAAAACAGGGUCAAAGAGCUUCAUGGGGAUGAAAAAGUCUCCUAAUUGGGAGGGAAGCUAUCUCAGAAUCGUCCCAAUGGUCUGUGGGUGAUGGACAAUCAGUCAGAAUACGGCAGGAUAAAUGGCUAAAGUGGGGUAUACUAAUCGGACCUGCUAAUAGAGAAGACCCUGAGUGAGUUAACGAGUUGAUUGACAGGCAGACUGGCUCAUGGAAAUAGGAUAUAGUACAAAACACCUUCGAAGACAGCAUUGCAGAUGAAAUACUGGCCAUUCUCAUCCCAGCUACAAGUGUAAAAGACAAACUAGUAUGGAAUGCAACAACAUCAGGCAACUACACAAUCAAAAGUGGGUAUAAUCAACUAAGGAGAGCAAAGAUAAAUUUAGCACAUAAUGAAGCAUCGACUUCAUACCAGAAGCCAAGAGAACUAUGGUGCAAAAUCUGAAAUUUGCGGACUAUCCCGAAAAUAAAAGUUUUUAUGUGGACCCUUUGUCAAAAUGCACUCCCUACGUCAGAAAACUUAAGUAGAAGGAAAAUCGCACCUGAAUCAACCUACCAGCUCUGUAAAAAGAACCCCGAAACAGAGGAACAUCUGUUUUUGCUCUACCUCUGGGCAACCAAGAUUUGGUCAGACCCACGCAUCAGUAUACCAGUUCAAAGAAAGGGACUAACAAGCAUAGAUCAAUGGAUCCUUCACUAUAAGCGAGCCUUACCAGAAGCACCACCCCUCGAGCAAGUUGCUGAACUGCUCUGGUUCAUGUGGAAAGCAAGAAACGAGGCCAUUUUCAUAGGGAAAUUGCUGGAUCCGCAGGGAGUUAUCUCGGAAGCCCUCGCAAAACAUGAAGAAUUCAAAAUCUGGAACUCAAAACAGGAUGUGCAUGAGGAGAGAGACCGUACUUGCGCGACGAACUGGAACCCCCCUGCACCGAAAUCGCUGAAAAUCAACGUCGAUGGAGGUCUCCGAGUAGGCGAAACCAGAGGAUUGAUUGCUGGUGUAUGCAGGGACACGGAUGGUGUUCUUCUCGGAGGGUUUGCACGCCAAGUUAGAGUGCAAUCUGCACUCCAAGCCGAAACCCUAGCUCUGCUUGAGGGGAUGAAGCUUGCGCACGAAUGGGAGAAGGGAAAAGGCAAAAAUGAAAGUACAAUUGUUGAAUCUGACUCCUCUGUUGCAGUUCACGCUUUGUUGGGGGAAGGACAAGUACCGUGGGACAUUGCAGCACAAAUCGAAAUGGGCCGGGCUUCUCUGUCUUCUUCGCCUCACAUAAAAAUUACCCAUUGCUUUAGGGAACAAAACAAAAUUGCUGAUUAGGUUGUUAAAGCCCAGCUUAGCCAUCGCCUCCCGAACAAUUGGGUUUCGAGUCCACCGCAACCAUUGUUUGAUUUUCUUUGUUCUGAAGCCCAGAUGAGUUCAUGUUCUAUGUUCUCUACUUAAGUUGAAAUGAAAUGCAGCUUUUUUGACCAAAAAAAAAAAAAACCUCGAGUCAACCUAGGUUAAAAAGCAAGGUGCCGCAAAAUAGGAUCCAAAACUCGUGCAGUGUGCAACCUGCAAUCCCUCCAGCAACUGAUGGUACUCUUGGCUGAUUUCACGAACUCUAAUGGUCGAUAUCCUCAGGGACUUAAAACUUCGUAUAGGGCAAUCAUUCAUAUGUACUUCUGAACAACAAUAAUUUGUCCUUUUCUAACUCUCCUUACUCAUGAACAUCAUCGCAACUUGAAGCCACCUUGCAUCUUACAGUCCACAAUUCCUUGCUCACUUUUGUCAACCUUCCACUACAUUACCUGUUGUUGCAACUCAAAUUGCGAUGGGAGAACCUUAUUCCCAGUCUUCAAAACCGUGUCACCUGAUUCAACCAAACGAAGGUGCAAAGUUAUCGCCCGUGUAGACGCGCUGCAAUUAUAAUAUUUGGGUGGUGGGACCCAAAAAGAGAAAAAGAAAAUAAGGUUGAAAAGUCAAAAGAAGAAAAAGCCAAAGAAGGGGACGCACGGUUCUUAAGUAGACCGAGAGCACAUGCCAAAAAAUAAAAUAAAAAAGAGGGAAAGAGAGGAAAGAAAAGAGGGGAAGGAGGAAAGAAAGAAGAACAAAGGAAAAAAGAGAGGGCUUUGUGCCAUAGAGACCUCGUCAAGCUAAUUCAACUCUAAUAUUUCAUGCUCGCAUCCCUCGUUCUUCCAAUCAUAUUAGUUUUCAAGAUUAAGGCUUAAAUUCAAAAUUAUGUGAUAUUCAAGUCAUGAAGUCCGACUUUUAAGUUAUUGAGCUAUAGAAUUUCUUGAAAAUGAUAGUUUAAGGCGUUAUGAAGCCAUAGGGUUUGUCAAGAGUCAUUUUUUAGUAACAAUUUGGUCAGAGGAAAAUUUUAGGGUUUCGUGUUCAAGUUCCGCAUUGCAUUUAAAUUUGAAUAAUUGCUUCGAGUGAGCCAUUUAUUAGUGCGUAAAAGUAUUUUUGUUAACGUUUAAGUAUAAUUGAGAUAGAGUUUUAUUUUGAUUUAAUGUCAACUCUCAUUUAAUUGUUAAGAUUAUGAGAUCUUCAAUUCGUGUAGCUAUGCGUUAUUUGGUUUGGGAUUCUUAAGUGAGUGAUACUAUCUCUUCCAUGAAUUUCUAAACUCAUUUAUUGAAAGCAACACAAAUUUGAUAUAUUAUAACUUAUGAAUAAGCAUGUUUGUUGCAUAAAAUCUGGAUAAGGUGUUUAGUACAAUUUAGUACUUGUAAAUGGUUUGCAAAUGUUUUGGAAAGUUGUCGCAAAAGAUUAUAUGUAUAUAUGUUGAUUCAUGAACUUAAUUUAUGAAAUGGAUUCUAAAAUGGUUUGGGAAACAUAUUGUGAUUUAUGAAAUGGUUUUUGAAUUUGGCUUUGUGGAUUGUGAAAGAUGUCAUGAACUUAAUUUAUUUGGUUUGCCUCAUUAGAUAUUUGAGCAGGAGUUUGAUCAAUAGAUGAACCAUUGACAUGUGAUUUUGUUGAAAUUGAUUAAUGGACUUAACCAUCAAUGUUUGUCAUAAUAUUAUUGAUUUAAUGAUUGUAUUCUAAUAUGUUUAUAGUUAUGUUAAAGCAAUAUAACUCAUUUUUAUCUUAUAUAUGUAUUAUGUACUUAAAACUGAUAUAUAUGAUUUAUGAUAUUGUUUUGUAAAGUGCAUAGUGGAUGCUUAAUUUGCUUAGAAGAGUUGCACCACUCACCAGGCUGUGAUUGUUUAUUCCAUUUAUCUUUUGUGCUUUUUAGGAUCCUUGGUUAAUGGCUGUCAGAGGUAGAGCAAUAUCAACAAUUGGACUUUUAGGAGUGGGAUUUUAGUGGUUUAAAGUUGCAUCUUUUGAGUGGAAGAAAGGCCAUGUCAUUAUCUCUAUCCCUAUAGAAUUAGGAGUGCAUUAACAACAGGGCAAUUCAGUACAAUUUAUGUUUCCUAUUCGCCAUUUAAAAAACUCUCAAAUCUAGUAAACACAUGAGGACUUUAAUGCAAUCCAAACGUCUGUUCGAAACAUAAUCAAGCACUCCCGAUCGUCUGUUGCUAACAAAAUCGUGGGAUGGCUUCACCUCGAAUCUAUUCUCGAUAGUCUCUAAAGUCUUAAGUUUGUCCCCUGAUAUUGCCUUCAAUUGAACAUGAACAUAUUCAAGAUGAAAACACAAUAGUCUCUCACUCCAACGAAUUUACACAGAUAGUUCAAAAGCCAUGUGCUCGCUUGGAUUGGUAUGGAUUAAUAGGAUGUCCCAAGCCUUAAGAUGACAUCAUUGACUGCGUUGAUGACCAUUGACUUGAUCACAUCACAUAGAUGUCUAUUCAUGUGAUUUGGGAAAAAUUGUUAGAAAAGUCUUAAAUCUAUUGCAUUUAUAUCAAUUUAAUCAUAAACAUUUUGACCUAAUGAUAAUUCAGUCCUUCAAGCUAAUUUGGCAAAUAUUGUCGACAUGAAUGCCAACUGGCCUUCUGGCACUAUUGGCACUAGCGUGAACAAUUUUUAAUAUUAUAUUUUAUUAUUUAGAAAAAAAAAUUAUAUUUUUUUUCUUUCCUUUUUUUUUUUUUUUUUUGGUCUUUCUUCUUCCUUAUGUCGAUCCAUGGCAUGGCGAGUUGGCCUCACCUAGGCAAGGGUUGUCGUCACCUGCCACAAGUGAGGCCUGACAGGGCAAAGGUCGACCUCACGAUGACCUCGGCGAGGGCUGCAGUUGAAAAUCUAACGAGGUCCCCUUAGCCUAGGCAAAAGUUGACCUCACCAGAUUUGGCAAGGGGCACCCUACCUAGUCGCCCCUUGCCUGUGGUGGGUGACAACAACCUUGCAUAAGUGAGGCCAACUUGGUCAUGGUUGUUAACCAGCCAUCAGCUAUAGGCAAUGGCCAAUCAUUGACAAAUAGAAGAAGAAAGGGAAAAAAAUUCAAAAUAAUAAUAAUAAUAAUAAUGUAAAAAUAUAUAUUAAAAUAUUAUUAAAAAUUGUCAACAUCAAAGCCAGCAAUAUCACAUUAGUAAUAUCUUGCCAAAAUUAGCUAGAAGGACCGAAUCGGCAUUAGGUCACAACGUUUAGAACUAAAUCGGCACAAUUAAAGGUUUAGGACUAAAUUAAUUUUUAGGACUUUUUUGACACUCUUCCCCAUCAUUUUCCAUCUCAUUUUGUUGUUCCUCAAACAACCUCUCCUUGGUAGCCACCAAAGUAGGAUUUGAUACCAACUCCGUCACCUACACUUCUUUAAGGCGUCUCAAGAUGUUAACUUUCCCAGUGGCCACCCUUCCAACAUGGAAGAAGGAGGUGGAGCGUUCGAAUCCCCACCUUCUAGGGGGGUUGGGGUAGGAACAAUUUAGUUUCAAGUGUGGGCUUCAGGUCCAAUGCCAUGCAUGGAGGCAUAACAAAAGUCUGAGAGUGAGAGUUAGAAUAAGAGUAGAGUAAGACUAACAAAAAAAAGAAGAAGAAGAAGAAGAAAAGAUGUUAACUUUCCCUACUUGGAUUGUCUCUAGCACUACAAGAGCAGCUAAGGUCUCGGCCUAGGUGGCCCUUUCAAUGGGAUUAAUACUCGCGGCUUAAUCAGGCUUCGAGUGAUUUUUUGUUCUCGACAUUUUUAAUCCUCUUAUUAAACCACAAAUAGUCUCAUCGAGCAUGCCAAAAGGAUGUUUCACCAUAAUUGAAUCAACAACGAAAUACUUUUUACUAGGAUUAGUUCUUAAUUUUAUUAUGAGCAUACGUUUUGUAACACUUCUGAACAAGAGUCUUAUCAAUGGAGUACAAGGAAACAAAUAGAUAAGCUUUGACGGAAUCUAAUCAACAUUGUGAUAAACAAAACUUUGCCAGAUUUUUUCCUACGACAAAGUCGAUUGAAGAUACAACUUUAUUUGACAAUGGAGACUCGAAAGGUAGUACUGACAUACAUGCCAAAAUUUAAUCGAUAACGAGAUAUCUGAAAACUACAACUAGGAUAAAGAGAAUGAAAGAUAAUUAAAAUAUAACAAGUUUCAUUUGUUUUGUGACAAAGAGUACACGUGCUAUUUAAAGCUUACAACAGACAAUUACAAAUGGAGGUUACAUAUACUAUUUGAUAGUUACAUCGAUUCCAUUACUAGACGGUUCAUUGAAUUUAUGGCUUUGAUAGUUAGUUCAUUUCAUUGCGUUGACACUUAGGCCCUGUUUGUUAACGUUCUUUUUUUCUCUUUAUGAACAAAAAUCCUGUUUUUUUGUUCCAGGAAACAAAAAAAGAACAGAAACGCGUUUGUUUGCGUUUUUGUUCCAAAUCUAUUUUUUUAUUCCCAAGAACACAUUUGGAACAGAAACGAGAAACAAGAAAAACAUGGCCGGCCUCGCCCAGAUCCAGCUCGCCCGAGCUCGCCCAACCACCAACGAGGCUUGCGGCCUGACAGUGGCCCGGCGAGGCCGAGCCUCGCUGACGCGGGGCAAGGCUAGGCGAGCUCGGGGUCGCCAGAUCUGGGUGAGGCUCGGCCCAACCACGGCAAGGCUCGGCCUCGCUGGGGGCGGUGAGCCUCACCAUGGCUGGGCAAGGCAGUCGGCCCUCGUUGGCCGGUCGUCGGCCAUGGCCGAGGCCGGCGACCGGCCAAAGAAGAAAAUAAGAAAUAAGAAAUAAGAAAUAAAUAAAAAAAAAGAACACAAAUUUAUCAAAGGUGUUUUUAUUCAUUUUUUAUUCCCAAAACAAAUUUACCAAACGCAUUCUUCUGUUCAAAAAUUAUUCCCCGGAACAGAAAUAGUUUUUUCUAUUUCUGUUCCCUAGAACAAUUUUUGAACAGAAACAUUACCAAACGCGCCCUUAAUUUCCUGACAGGUGUAUCCACAAUCAUCGACUCCACUAUUAGUCGAUAUCUUCAAGUUGUCAAUUUGUUGCUGCUCUUCUAGCCAAACUAUCUUUAUUGACAAAGUUUGUCACUUAUCGAUAAUUACUUAAAAUUGGUCAAAAAAAUAUAUAUAUUUUUUGGGUAUAAAUAGCUCUUGAGGGAUUUGUGGAACCUUUAGGUCCUUACGUCACCUCGACUAAUGACAUCCACCGACAUUAGAUGGCGGAAAAGCAGCGAAAGCUCAUAAACAAAGGAUUUAGCUGGCAAUGAAGAGACGAUAGAGCCCAUCUCUAUUUGGGUGGGUGUGUGUGGAAGCUUCGUAUCGUCUGAAAAUGCAAAACCGCGUUGCCUCAUAAUUUCUACGCAUGAUGGGGGUCGGGAGUGUCCUCUUCUUUUGGAAACUUCUUUUUUACAUCUGAAGCCAACUGUCCUCAGCUGAGUUUUAGCGUUUGAUGUUGACUCCAUACAUCCCCUUCUCUCACACGCUUUUGCUUUACCCCUUCUCCAUCUUUGGCAAAAAAGCUAUAAGUACCAUCUGCACAUCUCUCCCAUUUCAUCAAGCAACACAAACACCCACAGCUCUUCCUCUCUCUCCCUCAGUGUCUCCUCUUCAGUCCUCACUCUCAUAUCAUCUCAUUGGCAUUUGCAUCUCUUCAGCAACUACAGCCGCAGCAGCAGCAGCAAAAAACAAAACACGCCCCAUAUGGCCUCUCGUUCCACUUCUUCGCUUUGUACCACCGCGCUUCUUCUCCUGGUCGUUUCUUGGGCAGCAUCCGCUUUUGCCCGCAACUUCUACCAAGACUUCGACAUAACCUGGGGAGAUGGCCGAGCUCAGAUCCUCAAUAGUGGCGACCUCCUCACUCUUUCCCUCGACAAGGCCUCCGGCUCCGGCUUCCAGUCCAAGAACGAGUACCUGUUUGGCAAGAUUGACAUGCAACUCAAGCUCGUUCCCGGCAACUCCGCAGGCACCGUCACCGCUUACUAUGUAAGUCUCCAUCUUAAUCAGUUGGUGCCCCUUUAUCUUCAAGCUUCCUUCUUUUUAUCUCGAUCAGAUUUUAACUUUUACUAUGUUGUUAUUCUACAGUUAUCUUCAAACGGGUCGACGUGGGACGAGAUAGACUUCGAGUUCUUGGGGAACUUGAGCGGCGAUCCAUACAUUCUCCACACCAACGUCUUCAGCCAAGGCAAGGGUAACCGAGAGCAGCAAUUCUAUCUCUGGUUCGACCCAACUGCUGAUUUCCACACCUACUCCAUCCUCUGGAAUCCACAACGCAUCAUGUAAGAGUCUGAAAAGCUCAAAAUGCGACCUUACUUGCAUUUACAUUGCGCUACACUAUUCUCUGCGGCAUUUACUCAAAUACCUUUGUGCGCGACCAUUGCAGAUUCUCAGUGGACGGGACUCCCAUCAGAGAGUUCAAGAACGCAGAGUCCAUCGGCGUUCCCUUCCCCAAGGCCCAGCCCAUGAGGAUAUUCUCGAGCCUCUGGAACGCGGACGACUGGGCAACCAGAGGCGGGCUCGUAAAGACAGACUGGACACAAGCGCCCUUCACUGCUUCCUACAGGAACUUCAAUGCUGAUAACGCCUGCGUUUCGUCAUCUGGGUCCUCAUCUUGCACUUCGUCUUCAUCUUCUUCGGAUGGUAAUGCAUGGCUAUCGGAAGAGCUCGACUCAACAAGCCAAGAGAGGCUGAAGUGGGUUCAGAGCAACUACAUGAUCUACAACUACUGUACAGAUGCCAAAAGAUUCCCCCAAGGCGUCCCUCCUGAGUGCACCAUGUCCUAGACGACACAAGACAUAGGAUUUGUAGAAAAUUCUUCGUUUUUUUUUUUUUUUUCCGCUUUGUGAGCCAACUCUAUUCAUUAGUUAAUCUCCCUCUCGAUGUGCUCGAGAAAGAAUUGAUAAUCUUUUAUUCUUUGACAUUGUAUAACAGUCUUGUCUUUACUCAAUAAAACAGAAACUCAUCUUGGAUUUCAUAGCAGUGCUGCGAUUCAGUAAGUGGAUACUACACAGAGCAACAUUAAUUGAAAGAGAAUGGAUUAUACAGGCUAGCUCCUGCCUUGAACAUGAACAGAUGACAGAAUUGACUACGCUGUUGUAACUCUAAAAAUUUGAUAAGCGCUACAUUAAGUGAGUCUUGUUUUUACGCUGAAUCCAACUCCAAUAUCCUCAUCGAGGGACUGAUUUAGCCUCCGUGUCUUACUGGUCCUUGUGUUUCACGGAAGUACCAAAAAUAGACAACCGAUCAUCACCAUACAAUCAUGACCAGAUGAGCUCUCCAACUCUGCGAACUCAAUGAACAUCCUUGUCUCCAACAUAGAAUUAACCGCAAUUUAUGGCUGAUCAACCUCAAGUCAACCAAACUUUAAGAACAUGGUGCCGCAAACUAGGAUCCAAAAUUGUGCAGCGUGCAACCUGCGAUCCCUCCCACGACUGAUGGUACUCUUGGCUGAAUUCACGAACUCUAAUGUUAAAUAGCUUCAGGAACAUAAAAUUCAACUAUAGCAGACAUUCGUGUGUACUUUAUACCUACAUAGUUUGUCCUUCUCAAACUCACCUGACUCAGAACAAAAUCGCAACUUGAAGCCCCAUUGCAUUUUACAGCCCACGAUUCCUUGCUCUUUUAUCAACCUUCCACUACAUUACCAGUUACAACUCAAAUAGCGAUGUGAGACGGGCUACAGUAGAGGAAAUUCAGAACGACUUCUGUUUCCUAUUUUUCCAUUUAAGCAACUUUCGUAUCUAGUAAACACAUGAGGACUUUAUUACAAUUCAAACCUCUGUUCGACUCUUAGCCAACCACUCCUGAUCAUCUGUUGCUGACAAAAUCAUGUGGGACAGCUUCACCUAGAAUCUGUUCCCGAUAAUCCCUUAGAGUCCUAAGUUUGUCCCCCAAUACAAAAUGCGUAACCAAGGAAGCUUCGUUAUAAUGCUACUGCAAAUUCGAGACAUCAAAGCAUAUAAGAAAAACCUGAAUAUUUUCUUCUUCCAACUAAACAAAAUCCAUUUCCAUCUUCUUUUCCCAGCCAAAAGAUUGCACCGAUCAUCAAUAAGGGAAAACCCAUUGUACUUAUCCUAAUAUACCAUCCUUGCAAAUCAUCAAUAUGCUGAGUUUCUAAGAAAAAGUAAUAAAAAUCGAAUCUUUUACAUCAGAAAGAAAGAUAAGCCGAACAAAGAGACAGAACACGGAUAGAUUAAAGGAAAUAAAAAUCGUACAGAGGGAAAGAUAAGAAAGGACCUGAAACGGAGGAUUUCGGGUGCCUCUGCGGGAAUUUACUGUGAGGAAUUCUCUUCAUUAUCUCAACUUGCAAUGUUCGUCAACAAAGUUUGAUUGAACUGAAGUGAACCGUGAGGAAUAGGUGACAAAUAUAGAGUUAAACCAAAGGGAAGUUGACAAAAUUUGAUCGCCCAGAGCCAUUGCAAAUUUUGCCCAAAAGUCAGGCGGUGAUGUUUUCUUCUUCCAAUGUUUACUUUCCGCUUUCUGUUUUCAUUUUGCAUGAAUUUUUUAGUUUUUUAGAUGGUGCUCACGUCCUAUAACAUCUCUGCUUAAGAUACUUCAAGAUGAUUGUGAAUGUGACAAAGUUUUAUCUUCUCCUAUAUCUUUCUUUAAUCGAUAAAAUUGAAUUGUAUUUGAUUUUGGACAAUCCAUUCACUAGAUCUCCAUGUACGAAAAUAGCGUGGGAAGAAUGCACAUAAGACAAGGCCCCUCCGAGGAGGAGGGCCAAGCAAAGGGAACGAUGGGUAGGAGAGAUGGAGAUUCGGGCUUUCAAGGGACUUGUGAUCUUUAAAAUCCCAAUGACAUUCUAGUUAACUCAUUUGAGAUAUUGUUCACUUUGACUCGUUUUAUUUUGAAGCUCACAACUUUUGUCUUUUAGGGUAGAAGUACUUUCUCAAGUGACCACCGUUCUAGUAGUGCCCUAGUCUAAGCAUGAUUAACUUUGGAGUUCCAUAUACCUUGAUUAACUCACUUGAGAAAUUAUCCAAUUUGGCCCACCCAACCUAAAGCCCCAUGGCUUUGACCUUGUACAAGCAAAAACACUUGUUCAAUAUGUCGUCCAUUCUAAUAGUGCAUUAGCCUAAGCACGCUCAACUUUGGAGUUUCAAAGUAAAACUUGUCAUUAUCGUCACACCUCUAACUUGACAAGAAUAAGGACAACGAAAUAGUCAUCUUUUUUUCCUCAAGAACGCAACUUCAAACGUAACCAACAUUAACCUAUCAUUCGAAAAAUACAUAUCCAAUCAAAAAUCUGAUGGAAUAGAAUAUUAGUUAUAAAUCAAAUUUCUAAAAUCCAUUAACACUAUAUAUAUUUUUCCCAAAUUAAGAAACUAAUCUUCAACAUAUACCAUUUCAGAUAUAUCCAACUAUCUAUAUCUAUCCACAAUUCAGCUAUCAAGAGUUCCCCAUUAAUAUUGCUCCCGUACUACUCGUCGCUAACCGGAAAGAUUUGGGAGGAAAUGGGUAAACAAAAACAGCUCACUGAGUAAUGCAUAUCUCAAGCAUUCAUUAUGAACUUUUACAAAACUAUAACAAAACUCAUUAAUCCAAAAUCCAAUUGAUAUUAUACGUACAAUUUCAAAUAUAUGUUAUUUGGUUUCAGCAAAUAUUCAUACGCAUACGAUCAAAAUGAAUAAUGAAAUGUGUGUCACGUGAAUAGCAAAAUACUGAAAUAUCCAUUACUUUUAAAUACCAUAAUUCAUACACGUACAAUACGAAAAGCAAUUAUACCUUUCUGCAAAACUUCAUAAAUAUCGAAAAUCAUCUAAAUCAACAAUAUUGAUUUAUAUAUUAAUAGUCUAUUGUAUUUAUUAAUCUCAUAUCAAAUCAAAUAACGAUGGUCCAUUUCAUCGAUUAAUCUCAAAUCACAUGUCAAUGGCCCAUUCCAUUGAUCAAACUUGUGCUCAAAUUUCUACCUAUGAUCACAUAUAAUGCCUCAUGACAAGGCAAUUAAGAUUCUCAUUGGCAAGUUCUUCACGGCCUAGAAGGAUAUCCUAAAAUUAGUAUGCAUGCCCAGAAACCCCUAAUCAAGUUCACAGCAAUAUUAAGUACCAAAUUGUCAUCCUUUAUUACCAAAAUCAACAGCCAAAAUCCAUCUCAUAAAUCGGUUUCACAAAUCAAAUCAAAUCAACAUUUACAACUCAAUUUAUCAAAUAUAAUGCAUUUCAUAAAGUAUUUAACUAAUAAAUACAUACAAUCACUCUCAAUUCUGUUCAUCAAACAUAAUAUAUAUAUUUCUCAAAACAUUUCUCACACCAUUUUGGAAUUUAGUUCAUAAACCAAGUUCACAAAUAUAUAUAUAUAAUUUUCACAACACAUUUCCUAAUAUAUUUCACAAACUAUUCUUAAAUAUCAAAAGGUAGUAAAUGCCCUAUCUAGAUUUUGUGUAACAGACAUGCUUUAAUAAGUCAUACGAUACUCAAAUCAAUAUCACUUUCAAAACAUGAGUUUUCAAACUUAUUGAAGAGAUAGCAUCAUUCACUUGGGAAUGCCCACGACAUAAUUAUAUGCGCCAACAAUCUCGUAAUCAUAAUAAUUAAAUGAGAAUUGAUGUCAAAAUCAAGUAAAAUACUACAAUUACGAAUCAAUUAAACUACACUUCAAUGCUAACAACAACAUUCUUACACAUCAACAAAUCGCACAUCCAAAUAAUUAUUUAAGCAGUUCACAACACAAAACUCACACGCGAAACUAUAAAAUUUUGCUCCGACGUAACAAUUACUCCAAAAUGACUCUUAUCAAAACCCCUUGACUCCACAACAUCAUAACCCACCAUAUCUAUGAAAUCACCAAGUUCAAUAACUUAAAAAUUGGACUUUGCAGCUCAAAUUUCACGUAACUUUAAAUUUGUGCCCUAAUUUUAAAACCUACUUCAAUUAGACGAAUGAAAUGUACGACCACUUACCGAGCAUUGCAAAUUGGACUAAAUCCGACUUGGUGAGAUCCCCGCAACAUGUAUGCGUGAGUUUCGUCUCUCUUCCUUCUUUAUUUUCUUUUUUUUUUCCUUUACCUCUCUUUCCCUUUUCUACGUGAGCUCUCAGUCCCCAUACAGCUGAGUCCAUUCUUUUUCCUCUUCUUUUUUUGACCACUUUUCUUUUUUACUUUUUGACAUUUGACUGACUCAAACUCCAAAUAUUACAGUUACGUCAAAAAAAGCCUCCGUGAAUUAAUUUAGAGCUGCCACAAUAUAAUAUCAAAAUGGGACCCUCUCUAAUAGAUGUAUGGUUUGGGGACAAACCACAUGAUAAUUGGUAGGCUUGUAAUGAUCUAGUCCAAUAAGGGUGGCAAGUGGUGGCCUCGGCCAACAAGCUUGAAUAAGAAGCGACUCUUGACAAGCUUCUAGGAUGACAAAGGAGGUAGGAACGAAUUGAAUUGCGAAGAGGAGGAGAGUGCACCCAAGAUAUAUUUGUGAAAACUGAAAUUAACUCACAUAAACAUCUUUUGACGUAACAAUAAGUUUUACUUUGGAACUCCGAAAUAAAACCUACUCAAUUUAGAACACUUCCAAAAUGCAUGACCUCUUUGGGAAAGUUUCUUCUUGUAUAGCAAAUGACAAAACCUUGAGACUCGGAAUUGGAUGGGCCAAAAGGACAAUACCUCGAGUGAGUGAAUCAAGGAAUGGCAAUAACUUUGCGUCAAAAGACAUUAAUUCCAGAAUUUACAAAGGUAUUCCAAGCGCACUCUAGAAAUUUUAUUUAUUGAUGCCUCAUUCGUUAUCUUAAAAGUUUGCCAAGACUAGCUCUUUAUUCGAAUUGUAUGGUUCACACGAAUGCUCUCCGAUCUCCGCUAUUAUCGGACCAGGCCGUUACAACCAUGACUAUGCAAACCGGACAAGCAGCGAGAACUCAUGGUAAAGCACGUAGCUGGCGGUCAAGAGAUGAUACAUCUCGUCUAUGCGUCGGGGUGGGUGUGGGUGUGUGUAGGGAAGCUUCGUGUCGGCUCAAACCGCGUCGCCUCAGAAUUUCUUUGCACGGUGGAUGUGGGUUGGUCAUGUCACUGUUUGUCCUCUUCUUUUUAAUAGCUUUUUUCAUAUCGGAAUCCAACUGUCCACAGCUGAUUGGUGUCGAGGUUUCACUCCCACCAAUCCUUCUUUGCCUCUCUCUCACACGUUUUCUCCCUCCUCCAUCUUCGGCACGAAGCUAUAAAUACCAUCUCCACAUCUCUCCCAUUUCAUCAACCAACAGAAACACCUACAUCUCUCUCUCCUCUUCAGUCCUCACUUCUCAUAUUAUCCCAUUGAGAUUUACUUCUCUUCAGCGAGUACAGCAGCAGCAGCAGCAGCAGUAGCAGCAGACAGAACACGCCUAAUAUGGCCUCCCCUUCUGCUCCCUCACUUUGCAUCACCACAUUGCUUCUCGUGGUCGUUUCUUGGGCAACAUCUGCUUCCGCCCGCAACUUCUAUCAAGACUUCGACAUAACCUGGGGAGACGGCCGAGCUCAGAUCCUCAACAAUGGCGACCUCCUCACUCUCUCCCUCGACAAGGCCUCCGGCUCUGGCUUCCAGUCC
RNAcentral lists this long non-coding RNA (19904 nucleotides) under Eucalyptus grandis. RNAcentral describes it as "long non-coding RNA (EGRA_LNC001212)". Lineage: Eukaryota; Viridiplantae; Streptophyta; Magnoliopsida; Myrtales; Myrtaceae. The record is from RNAcentral.